CCUACGGGGUGCUGCAGUGAGGAAUAUUGGUCAAUGGCCGCAGGGCUGAACCAGCCAAGUCGCGUGAGGGAUGACGGUCCUAUGGAUUGUAAACCUCUUUUGUCAGGGAGCAAAGGGCGCCACGUGUGGCGCUUUGCGAGUACCUGAAGAAAAAGCAUCGGCUAACUCCGUGCCAGCAGCCGCGGUAAUACGGAGGAUGCGAGCGUUAUCCGGAUUUAUUGGGUUUAAAGGGUGCGCAGGCGGAAUGUCAAGUCAGCGGUAAAAUUUCGGGGCUCAACCCCGUCGUGCCGUUGAAACUGGCGUUCUUGAGUGAGCGAGAAGUAUGCGGAAUGCGUGGUGUAGCGGUGAAAUGCAUAGAUAUCACGCAGAACUCCGAUUGCGAAGGCAGCAUACCGGCGCUCAACUGACGCUCAUGCACGAAAGCGUGGGUAUCGAACAGGAUUAGAUACCCCGGUAGUC
This 459-nucleotide ribosomal RNA is filed under the name uncultured bacterium. Its description in RNAcentral is "partial 16S ribosomal RNA". It matches the Rfam family "Bacterial small subunit ribosomal RNA", at positions 338 to 795 of the family's 1533-position model. The record is from RNAcentral.